CAAUAUUUGGAUUGAAUAUUCUGAGAAAGC
RNAcentral lists this non-coding RNA (30 nucleotides) under Cricetulus griseus (Chinese hamster). Lineage: Eukaryota; Metazoa; Chordata; Mammalia; Rodentia; Cricetidae. The record is from RNAcentral.